Molecule: ribosomal RNA, 650 nt
Filed under: uncultured bacterium
Lineage: Bacteria
Description: bacterial SSU rRNA
Rfam family: Bacterial small subunit ribosomal RNA
Source: RNAcentral
UCAGGCCUAACACAUGCAAGUCGAGCGGAAACGAGUUAACUGAACCUUCGGGGAACGUUAACGGCGUCGAGCGGCGGACGGGUGAGUAAUGCCUGGGAAAUUGCCCUGAUGUGGGGGGUAACCAUUGGAAACGAUGGCUAAUACCGCAUAAUAGCUUCGGCUCAAAGAGGGGGACCUUCGGGCCUCUCGCGUCAGGAUAUGCCCAGGUGGGAUUAGCUAGUUGGUGAGGUAAGGGCUCACCAAGGCGACGAUCCCUAGCUGGUCUGAGAGGAUGAUCAGCCACACUGGAACUGAGACACGGUCCAGACUCCUACGGGAGGCAGCAGUGGGGAAUAUUGCACAAUGGGCGCAAGCCUGAUGCAGCCAUGCCGCGUGUAUGAAGAAGGCCUUCGGGUUGUAAAGUACUUUCAGCAGUGAGGAAGGUGGUAGUGUUAAUAGCACUAUCAUUUGACGUUAGCUGCAGAAGAAGCACCGGCUAACUCCGUGCCAGCAGCCGCGGUAAUACGGAGGGUGCGAGCGUUAAUCGGAAUUACUGGGCGUAAAGCGCAUGCAGGUGGUUUGUUAAGUCAGAUGUGAAAGCCCGGGGCUCAACCUCGGAAUUGCAUUUGAAACUGGCAGACUAGAGUACUGUAGAGGGGGGUAGAAUUUCA